GGGCUCGCUGGUGGCUGCUGCUGGCCCUGAGUGACUUUGGGAACCCUGAACCACGGCGGGUUCCACCCUGGGAUUCGUGCUAACAGGGAGCUGCACUACAGGGACUGCUCCAUGUUUUCCAUGUGAGAAUGAUUGCUUGGGGAUGAAAAAUUAUCUUCAAGUUCCCUGCAGAGAAAAAGAGGUACAUGCAUCUUCAUGCAUCCACGAAGGACCUGACUUAGUACAGCAGUGCUUCAUGAACUGAGGCCAGAGCACAAUGAACUACAGGGAGUCUCAUGGUGAGAGACAGAUCUUGCACCAGCACAGAGUUACAGCCAUUUCUAUGGAAAUUGAAGGUUUGAAGCCUGGGAGAAAGCAGCAACAAAUUUCCCAUCAAACAAGAAGAUGGCUCAAAGAUAACAGCCCAGAGCAAAGCUUCAGGUGAUGUUCCCUUUGGAUCCCUCUCUGUGUGCAGAGGACACAGGACCAGGAAUCCCACAGUGCCAAGCUGGUGGGUGAAGGAGGAAGGAUCCAGAAUGCGGCUC
Zonotrichia albicollis (white-throated sparrow) is the source of this 524-nucleotide non-coding RNA. The record is from RefSeq and is a predicted model, not a curated record. Lineage: Eukaryota; Metazoa; Chordata; Aves; Passeriformes; Passerellidae.